RNAcentral lists this ribosomal RNA (167 nucleotides) under Haldina cordifolia. RNAcentral's name for it is "5.8S ribosomal RNA". It matches the Rfam family "5.8S ribosomal RNA". From Rfam's summary of the family: 5.8S ribosomal RNA (5.8S rRNA) is a component of the large subunit of the eukaryotic ribosome. The record is from RNAcentral. Lineage: Eukaryota; Viridiplantae; Streptophyta; Magnoliopsida; Gentianales; Rubiaceae.
CAAAUGACUCUUGGCAACAAAUAUCUCGGUUCUCGCAUUGAUGAAAAACGUAGCGAAAUGCGAUACUUGGUGUGAAUUGCAGAAUCUCGUGAACCAUUGAGUCUUUGAACACAAGUUGUGCUCGAAACCGUCAAGCCGAGGGCACGUCUACCUAGGGGUCACCCAUC